AUCUCCUUAGUUUAAUGGACAAAACAGAGACCUUCUAAGUCUCCAAUGUAGGUUCGAUUCCUACAGGGGAUA
RNAcentral lists this transfer RNA (72 nucleotides) under Caudoviricetes sp. Its description in RNAcentral is "tRNA-Arg". It matches the Rfam family "tRNA". Rfam says of the family: Transfer RNA (tRNA) molecules are approximately 80 nucleotides in length. Their secondary structure includes four short double-helical elements and three loops (D, anti-codon, and T loops). Further hydrogen bonds mediate the characteristic L-shaped molecular structure. tRNAs have two regions of fundamental functional importance: the anti-codon, which is responsible for specific mRNA codon recognition, and the 3' end, to which the tRNAs corresponding amino acid is attached (by aminoacyl-tRNA synthetases). tRNAs cope with the degeneracy of the genetic code in two manners: having more than one tRNA (with a specific anti-codon) for a particular amino acid; and 'wobble' base-pairing, i.e. permitting non-standard base-pairing at the 3rd anti-codon position. Lineage: Duplodnaviria; Heunggongvirae; Uroviricota; Caudoviricetes. The record is from RNAcentral.